UGUGUGGUUAUUGCAGGGCGUGUGCGGUUUGCUCCCGCCGUAAGUGGACCGAAGCAAUGAAUGCUUCUCGGGGACGGCAGGUGGUGUCGGCGGACACCUCGCGACGAUCUUGAGCUUACCGGAGCUUCACCAUCGAUUACAUCCUGAAUGAACCUGGGACGUCUCCCGCCAGUACCAACGGCAGGCAGGCAGACUUCUCCAGUCUGCAGCCGGCGUCGGAGCGGCGGCAGCCCACCGGCAGUGCUGACCUAGAAGAGUUCACCACGGCUGGAGACCAGGGUGACGCCGAGUCAACUACUGCACGUGAGCCAGCCGCCAUCCCCAACACCUGUACCAACACCGGGCAUGACCACAGGAAAAUGCACUGCAAGAUUGGCGAAGCCAGUGUACACGACUAUUCAGCAGUCGACAGUCGCCUUCUGUUGAGCAGUGCUGCCACGCCGACGUGCGUCAGCUUCGUAUUGCGCGGAUUACAAGCGGGGCCUCAGAGCCAACGAGACUGGCGUGGACCGUGGUACUUUUCAGCUUCGGCGACUCUGUCCAGCUUAGUUCGGCCCAGCCUUCUCUUUUUCCACCAGAUCAUAUUAUGGAAUGACUAGCCGCGGGAGUGUGCAGUUAACCAGGAGAAAAAUCACCAGAGGGCAUUGGAAGCGGUCUGCCGGGCCUCCUACCAGCCGCGCGUCAUCUGCCGGCGGGUGGGCCGUCUCACACGGGACGAUGCCGUCAGCCGGUGCUGUCGUGCCUCGGUGUCAGCCUAUCCGGCCGCGGUCCAGACCCCCUAUGAUCAGCUGCCGGCGCCAGCCCUGCCCUGGACGGCGUCUUACAAGACGUACUGAACACGGCGCGGGCAGAAGACGGCGCCGGCACACAACGACGCCUGCCUCAACGGCUCUCUGGACCGCUUCAAGUGCACGAUGUGUGAGAGGACGGGCUUCAUCAAUAGCGACCAACUGGCGCUCCAUAUUACGUCACGUAGUGCGGAGGCGUCGCGUCAGAGCCGCUGCGUCAUUUGUGCGGUUGGCUUCCGUGCGGCACAGCAGCGGCCGAAGCGCGUGGGAGGCUCCCAGCACAAGGGCCUUACAGUUCAUAGCGGAAUUCCUCCCAGAGAACGUACUCUACCAGCGCUGGUUGAAUUGCAAAGAACCUACUGCAGCUUCUUGGCGCCCUCGUCAGCUGUGGUGUCUACUCGCCAAGCAUUUCGGGUCGGAGCACUUCCUUCCAAAUGUUCGGCAGUAUAUAUUGUACCAGGUGUCCAUGCGGCAUGUUGUACUAGUGAUGCAGUGUACCGACAAUAUGUCAUUGACUGGCCUACUGUUCAUAAGUGACCAGCAUAAUGUCCAUAGCAUGUUGUCAUCCAGAAAAAAGUCGACAUUUACAUUGCCUACGUAAACCUAUCAUUUCUACCUGAGCAAGCGAACUCGAAGUGGCAGCAGUUACUUGGCUAGGUCAGUUACGGUGAAUCACGAAAGCAGUUACUUGGCUAGGUCAGUUACGGUGAAUCACGAAAAGCACAGACGAGUGCAUUUUGUCUACAUACCAUAAUAUAUUUAGCUUGCUUGCGAGGUAACUUACUCGACGACGAAAAAACGCGCAGCUCCACAAUGUGAUGCAAUUUCCCCCAGGGUGAGGCAAAUUGUCCCACGUAAAGGGAGGACAUUAAGAAUUAAUAUACCAAAAACCGAAGACAUGCUCUCCAAAACCUUACGGCCACGUAUGAAGCUGGGGUUAUAGCUGUCUGCAAAUAUGAUAGUCCUCGCCAGUUAUAGCAGGAGGUAACUCAGGGUAAAAACACGUAUGACCCUCCCUAGCCCCCGAAAUAAAUGUCUCUCUCCCAUUCAGGUAAAGCUAGGAAUCCGUGCCUACCUACAUAGCGGCAACUUAACGUGCGUUUCGAUUUAAUUCCUUUACGUGGCAACAUUUCGCUCAGCUCAUCUGAAGAGACUUCCAUUCAUCCAUUUCUUCACUGUCAAGCCCCUAGGAUGUUUGUUCCUGUUCGCGCAGAAGCUGCGGGUACCCACCCUAGGGGGGCACCCAGGGGUGGCGCCACCAGGGGCAAGGGGUCAGCCGCCUUCUUGUACGCCAAGAGGAAACAAACAAACAAAAAUAUAUAGGUUCUCCUUGAAAUUUAAGGAGGCUCUAACUGACCGACAGAAGGCAGCAAACGAACGGGACAUGUAUUGCGUGCUUGAACAGUCUAGAGAGUUGUGUAGGAACUAGCUCGUUCGGCGCGGCGCUAACGCAGCGGGCCCGGGCAGCCCGUGGCAGCCAGUGCGGCAGUCGCGCAGUCUGCGCGGUCGGCGGAAUGCGCUGUCCACAUGGUGCGAAUGGAAGCCCCGGAGCACUUUCCAGAAUCCGACGAAGCCACCGUUGUUUGGGUCCGGGACCUGUUUGCGUAUGCCCCAAACAACCCAUGACUGGCUAGCACACCGAACGCAAAAGCCAAGCAACCCACAUUUGGAGUUAAAUGUUCGGUUGAUUACGCAUUACGAGACAGCUCCUUCCAUACUCAUAUCUCAGUUUACCAGCUCGUUUUGGUCGGACCGUAUGCAAUGUAUGCAAUACAGAAUGCAAUGCGUGCAUGCUGUGGCACUGUGGCACCGUGUGACACAUGACACAUGGCACUAUUGUGAUUCGGCACUUCG
Molecule: long non-coding RNA, 2642 nt
Organism: Pollicipes pollicipes
Lineage: Eukaryota; Metazoa; Arthropoda; Thecostraca; Pollicipedomorpha; Pollicipedidae
Exons: 4
Source: RefSeq, a predicted model, not a curated record